RNAcentral lists this long non-coding RNA (654 nucleotides) under Homo sapiens (human). RNAcentral describes it as "long non-coding RNA NONHSAT176234.1". Lineage: Eukaryota; Metazoa; Chordata; Mammalia; Primates; Hominidae. The record is from RNAcentral.
GGGUAGUGCCUACCACUGGGAGGCCCGGCGCCGGCAGAUGGCUUUGGACCGAAGGAGAUGGCUGAUGGCCCAGCAGCAGCAGGAGCUGCAGCAGAAAGAACAGGAACUGAAGAAUCACCAGGAGGAAGAACAACAAUCGGAGGAAAAACUCCAGCCACAUAAGAAGUUAAAUGUGCCGCAACCACCAGUGGCGAAAUUGUGGACAUCACAGGAGCAACCACAGCCAUCACAGCAGCAGCCAUCAGUGCAGCCACCAUCACAGCCACCACCACAGCCAUCAACAUUGCCACAGGCACAGGUGUGGCCAGGGCCACAGCCACCACAACCACAGCCACCACCUCAGCCAACACAACCAAGUGCUCAAGCCCGUUGUACUCAGCACACCUCCAAAUGCAAUCUCCAGGAUUCCCAAAGGCCAGGUCUCAUGAACCCAUGCCAAUCUAGCCCCAUCAGAAACACUGGGUAUUCACAACUCAAGUCUACCAAUUACAUACAGCAGUGGUGAUCCAGAGAUUGAACCCAGGACCCCAUGGCCAUCCCCAAAAUGCAGAUGAGCAACCACAUCUUCUCAGCAUCCAGCAAUAUCUCCACUCCAAAAGCCACCCACUCUAGAAGAGGAGGCUGCCAGGAAUAAAAUGUAAUUUUUUUCCUGGG